AAUAUUAAACAUUAGACCUUUCCCCUUAUAACCGAAAUUUUGAUCUAGGCAAGUCUAGACAAAUAUUUCAUCACAGCUUGAAAGAGCAUCACAAAAUUAGUAAUAUUCCAAAGUUUCGUUGAGAAAUGUUGUAAAAUGAGUAAAAUAGAGCCUUGCGAAGUUUGCAAUUUUCAGUCAUUUUGCAUUACAAACGGGAAAUUGCAGCCCCAACACCCGAAUCGGAU
This is a non-coding RNA of Paramuricea clavata, 224 nucleotides long. The record is from the annotation of a GenBank genome assembly. Lineage: Eukaryota; Metazoa; Cnidaria; Anthozoa; Malacalcyonacea; Plexauridae.